Long non-coding RNA from Boleophthalmus pectinirostris (great blue-spotted mudskipper), 466 nucleotides. RefSeq lists it as uncharacterized. The record is from RefSeq and is a predicted model, not a curated record. Lineage: Eukaryota; Metazoa; Chordata; Actinopteri; Gobiiformes; Gobiidae. The transcript is spliced from 3 exons.
AGCUCUUAUGUACAUUCACGUACAGUCCGUGGCAUUUCAUAGUAAGGUUGCGCUUUUAUUUUGGUGACUUCCUGUGUGAGCGGAAGUGAAGUUAAAAACGUUAGCUUUGUAUACAGAAAAGACGCAAAGUAAACAAAGCAACAAACACAACGGUGAAAAGUCAGAUAAAAACCUAAAGACGGCAACAGUCGACAGGGGAACAAGCUCUUACGUUGGUUCUAUGACACUGCAAGGAAAAGAUUAAAAGUCAUUUAAGAAUCAGUUCUGGCCUUCUCACUUCAACUGGAUGCUACACUUUUUUUAUGAUAAAAAUAAUCAAGUUUCAACAUUUGUGGCAAAGUAAUAAAUGAUCCACAGUUAAGAGUCACAACAGAAUCCAAAGAGGUCAGAGCAGAGAGAGUAAAUCCACGUCGUGUGCGGGAAAAUGCGCAAGAGGUUGGACAUGUAAACAAUCCACAGAGGGGAG